RNAcentral lists this ribosomal RNA (501 nucleotides) under uncultured bacterium. Its description in RNAcentral is "partial 16S ribosomal RNA". It matches the Rfam family "Bacterial small subunit ribosomal RNA", at positions 29 to 523 of the family's 1533-position model. The record is from RNAcentral.
AUUGAACGCUGGCGGCAUGCCUUACACAUGCAAGUCGAACGGCAGCACGGGAGCUUGCUCCUGGUGGCGAGUGGCGAACGGGUGAGUAAUACAUCGGAACGUACCCAGUAGUGGGGGAUAACGCACCGAAAGGUGCGCUAAUACCGCAUACGACCUAAGGGUGAAAGCGGGGGACCGUAAGGCCUCGCGCUAUUGGAGCGGCCGAUGUCUGAUAGCUAGUUGGCGGGGUAAAGGCCCACCAAGGCGACGAUCAGUAGCUGGUCUGAGAGGACGAUCAGCCACACUGGGACUGAGACACGGCCCAGACUCCUACGGGAGGCAGCAGUGGGGAAUUUUGGACAAUGGGGGCAACCCUGAUCCAGCAAUGCCGCGUGUGCGAAGAAGGCCUUCGGGUUGUAAAGCACUUUUGUCAGGGAAGAAAUCUUUUGGGCUAAUACCCCGGAAGGAUGACGGUACCCGAAGAAUAAGCACCGGCUAACUACGUGCCAGCAGCCGCCGUAA